GGGUCUGUAGCUCAGCCCGGUAGAGCAAUCGGCUCUUAACCGAUAGGUCAGGGGUUCGAAUCCCCUCAGACUCA
This 74-nucleotide transfer RNA is filed under the name Candidatus Woesearchaeota archaeon. RNAcentral's name for it is "tRNA-Lys". It matches the Rfam family "tRNA". From Rfam's summary of the family: Transfer RNA (tRNA) molecules are approximately 80 nucleotides in length. Lineage: Archaea; Nanobdellati; Candidatus Woesearchaeota. The record is from RNAcentral.